RNAcentral lists this ribosomal RNA (253 nucleotides) under uncultured bacterium. RNAcentral's name for it is "partial 16S ribosomal RNA". It matches the Rfam family "Bacterial small subunit ribosomal RNA", at positions 524 to 776 of the family's 1533-position model. The record is from RNAcentral.
UACGGAGGAUGCGAGCGUUAUCCGGAUUUAUUGGGUUUAAAGGGUGCGUAGGUGGUCUUUUAAGUCAGCGGUGAAAGUUUGUGGCUCAACCAUAAAAUUGCCAUUGAAACUGGGAGACUUGAGUAUGUUUGAGGUAGGCGGAAUGCGUGGUGUAGCGGUGAAAUGCAUAGAUAUCACGCAGAACUCCGAUUGCGAAGGCAGCUUGCCAAGCCAUAACUGACACUGAAGCACGAAAGCGUGGGUAUCAAACAGG